AGCGAACGCUGGCGGCAGGCCUAACACAUGCAAGUCGAACGAAGUCUUCGGACUUAGUGGCGGACGGGUGAGUAACACGUGGGAACGUGCCUUUAGGUUCGGAAUAACUCAGGGAAACUUGUGCUAAUACCGAAUGUGCCCUUCGGGGGAAAGAUUUAUCGCCUUUAGAGCGGCCCGCGUCUGAUUAGCUAGUGGGUGAGGUAAAGGCUCACCAAGGCGACGAUCAGUAGCUGGUCUGAGAGGAUGAUCAGCCACAUUGGGACUGAGACACGGCCCAAACUCCUACGGGGGGCAGCAGUGGGGAAUCUUGCGAAAUGGGCGAAAGCCUGACGCAGCCAUGCCGCGUGAAUGAUGAAGGUCUUAGGAUUGUAAAAUUCUUUCACCGGGGACGAUAAUGACGGUACCCGGAGAAGAAGCCCCGGCUAACUUCGUGCCAGCCGCCGCGGUAA
Molecule: ribosomal RNA, 449 nt
Filed under: uncultured bacterium
Lineage: Bacteria
Description: partial 16S ribosomal RNA
Rfam family: Bacterial small subunit ribosomal RNA
Source: RNAcentral